Molecule: small nucleolar RNA, 69 nt
Filed under: Kryptolebias marmoratus (mangrove rivulus)
Lineage: Eukaryota; Metazoa; Chordata; Actinopteri; Cyprinodontiformes; Rivulidae
Source: RNAcentral
UUUCUGUGAUGAUAAACUUGUCAGUUCUGCUACUGAAUGGAAGUGGUGACAUUUAAAGCCUCUGAGAAA